AUGAACUCACUCUUCUCUCUCCUUCACAGAAACAGAAGAGGCAACUAUGAAAAGCAGACUAGGAUGGCAUUGCCUCAGGUGGAAAACUGGCUGGGGUUGCUCCAGGCCACAGAUCAGGUCCACAUCUGCUCCACAUCUCUCCAUGAACCAGUGGCUACCACAAGCAUGUCCUUCUCAUGGAAACUCACAAGAGCAGAAAAGGGUAAGUCUCUGCUUGCCUUACAUCUGCUCACAAUCCUUUGUUCAAAGUCCAUCUCAUAUUCAACCCGAAUUCAGUGGGGCAGCCAAAUGUAAUCCACCCCAAAAGGAAGGAGGAAGGAAGCGAAUAAUGUUGAUAAUGAUAAUUCAAUCAAUCUAACACAGAUGCUAAGCACUCAUCCUCCAUACAUAAGUCCUAACUACCUCACUGACAACUCCCUAAAACCUCCAUUUUGUAUCUGAUCCAAAUCCCCGAUGAAAAUUCAUGAAAAAGAUCUCGGUCACUGUUGCUGGAGGAUACACAUUAAUUGUAUCUACAUGUGUCCCUCAGAUCUCAGUCCCACAUUCUUGGGUAAUUAUAAGCAUGCUUUAUUUUCACUCUUAGGUAACGAAUGCCUUGGGGCAAAGCAUAUGUCUUUUUGAGGAUCCUUGCAGAUGUUUGGCUUGUAGUUGUUUUCCUUGAAUUGCUGGUGAAUGAAACAGUGGGAGCCUAUUGGACUUUACCAGUCACUUCUCUGAUAGGGCUCACCAGUCUCAGAGGAGGGUAGGCAUGGAUAGCCCAAGGCAGAGCCAGUGGUGGAGAUCAAGGUUUGUUUAGACUUAACACCCAGUUUUCAUGUACCACAGCAUGAAGGAAAGACAAGUUAUUUACCUUUCAAAACCCUCACCUCUUGACUCUGAACACUACCAGUCAAGGCUGAAGGCACUAUAUACAUGAAGGGGAUGCCUAAACCCACUUUUAACGACUUCAGACUUCAUCUCCUUUGUACUUCUAUCUCAUUAUUGUCAUUGUUGUCUCUAAAUGGCUUGCUUUUUCUUUAAGGCACGUAGCAUGCUUUUAAUUAAUUAAUGGUAACCAUGAAUAAUAUUCUGUGCCAGGUACUAAGCUAAGCAUUUAAUCUGAACUAAUAUAAUUAUUCUUCACAAUAUCUCCAUUAGGCAAGAACUAUUCCAUUGUGAUCACUUGACUUGAAAGCUCAGACUGGCCUUUUUUUUUUGUUUUGCACUACUUACCCUGUUGGAAAUAUAUAAUAGUGUGAGUGUUGGAAGUGCAAAUUCAGGAACCAGACAGCUUGAGCUUAAACCCUGCUCCCAAUCCUUACAUCUGUGUGACCGUAGACAAGCUACUUGUAUUCUAUGCCUCAGUUUCCUUUUCUACA
Molecule: long non-coding RNA, 1358 nt
Filed under: Felis catus (domestic cat)
Lineage: Eukaryota; Metazoa; Chordata; Mammalia; Carnivora; Felidae
Description: lncRNA (ENSFCAG00000042323.2)
Source: RNAcentral